RNAcentral lists this transfer RNA (72 nucleotides) under Phrynosoma platyrhinos (Desert horned lizard). RNAcentral's name for it is "tRNA-OTHER". Lineage: Eukaryota; Metazoa; Chordata; Lepidosauria; Squamata; Phrynosomatidae. The record is from RNAcentral.
GCCAGUGUGGCAUAGUGGUUUGAGUGUUGGACUACGACUCUGGAGACCAGGGCUUGAUUCCCAGCUUGGCCA